AGGGUUUGAUCAUGGCUCAGAAUGAACGCUGGCGGCACGCUUAACACAUGCAAGUCGAACGAGAUCUUCGGAUCUAGUGGCAGACGGGUGAGUAACGCGUGGGAACCUGCCCUUUAGUAGAGAAUAACUCGGGGAAACUCGAGCUAAUACUUUAUACGCCCUUCGGGGGAAAGCUUUAUGCGCUAUUGGAUGGGCCCGCGUUAGAUUAGUUUGUUGGUGAGGUAAUGGCUCACCAAGGCUACGAUCUAUAGCUGGUCUGAGAGGAUGAUCAGCCACACUGGGACUGAGACACGGCCCAGACUCCUACGGGAGGCAGCAGUGGGGAAUAUUGGACAAUGGGGGCAACCCUGAUCCAGCGAUGCCGCGUGAGUGAUGAAGGCCCUAGGGUUGUAAAGCUCUUUUGUCAGGGAAGAUAAUGACGGUACCUGAAGAAUAAGAUCCGGCUAACUCCGUGCCAGCAGCCGCGGUAAUAC
Molecule: ribosomal RNA, 473 nt
Filed under: uncultured bacterium
Lineage: Bacteria
Description: bacterial SSU rRNA
Rfam family: Bacterial small subunit ribosomal RNA
Source: RNAcentral